AGGGAAUCUUCCGCAAUGGACGAAAGUCUGACGGAGCAACGCCGCGUGAGUGAAGAAGGCCUUCGGGUCGUAAAACUCUGUUGCCGGGGAAGAACAAGUGCCGUUCGAACAGGGCGGCACCUUGACGGUACCCGGCCAGAAAGCCACGGCUAACUACGUGCCAGCAGCCGCGGUAAUACGUAGGUGGCAAGCGUUGUCCGGAAUUAUUGGGCGUAAAGCGCGCGCAGGCGGCUUCCUAAGUCUGAUGUGAAAUCUUGCGGCUCAACCGCAAGCGGUCAUUGGAAACUGGGAGGCUUGAGUGCAGAAGAGGAGAGUGGAAUUCCACGUGUAGUGGUGAAAUGCGUAGAGAUGUGGAGGAACACCAGUGGCGAAGGCGGCUCUCUGGUCUGUAACUGACGCUGAGGCGCGAAAGCGUGGGGAGCAAAC
RNAcentral lists this ribosomal RNA (426 nucleotides) under uncultured bacterium. RNAcentral's name for it is "bacterial SSU rRNA". It matches the Rfam family "Bacterial small subunit ribosomal RNA", at positions 356 to 773 of the family's 1533-position model. The record is from RNAcentral.